UACAGGGGGUGCAAACGUUGCUCGGAAUCAUUGGGCGUAAAGCGCACGUAGGCGGUCUGUUAUGUCGGAUGUGAAAGCCCUUGGCUCAACUGAGGAAGUGCAUCCGAAACUGGCAGGCUAGAGUACUAAAGAGGGUCGCGGAAUUCCCGGUGUAGAGGUGAAAUUCGUAGAUAUCGGGAGGAACACCGGUGGCGAAGGCGGCGACCUGGGUAGAUACUGACGCUGAGGUGCGAAAGCGUGGGGAGCAAACAGG
RNAcentral lists this ribosomal RNA (253 nucleotides) under uncultured bacterium. RNAcentral's name for it is "partial 16S ribosomal RNA". It matches the Rfam family "Bacterial small subunit ribosomal RNA", at positions 524 to 776 of the family's 1533-position model. RNAcentral also lists the same sequence under 1 other name. The record is from RNAcentral.